Non-coding RNA from Lepisosteus oculatus (spotted gar), 1025 nucleotides. NCBI's taxonomy places the organism in Eukaryota, Metazoa, Chordata, Actinopteri, Semionotiformes, Lepisosteidae. The record is from RefSeq and is a predicted model, not a curated record.
UAGAAAAACGACGUUACUCAAGUUAUGCACAGCAAGCUGUUGUCCUCCCCCUAGGUUCCAGUUUGUUGUGCACAGUCAGUUAUAAUACCAAGGAUUCCACUGUUUUUCAACUGCCAAACAUUUCAUUAGCACCGAUAUUGCCCACAUAAAAGAAUAUAUUCAACCGACUAGCAUUCUUGGGUUUGGCAAGUAACUUAAAAUUAUUGUUUAGCUUAUGUAGUAGCAUGAGAGUUAUAUAAUAUAUAUAUAUAAUUUCAGAUAUGAGUAGUUGGUUCUACAUAUUAAUGCUAUUUUAUUUUAUUGUUGGAAGAAUAGAAAGGAAAAUGAGUAAUCUACUCUCGUUCUCCGAUUACAAUGAACACAAAUCUUGUCUGCUCUAAAGAACAAGUAGAAUAAUAUCGCAUCUGAUUUUAUUUUUGUGUAUUUCUUUUUAAAAAAGCGUUUUCGUCGGGCCAGUAAUGCAAAUCAUUUUCCCAGCCGCUAAUUAGUUGACUUAACUCAAGCACCUUGUUGCUCUCUGAGAAGAGUUCCAGCCCUGUGCAGCACAAACUCGCCAGCACGCUUCAUGUAUUUUAAAGGGAUUUGCUUUGAACUUGAUGCUAAUUUACUCAAAAGUGUGCAGAAUGCACGCUGGAUUUGAAGUCUCUGCUCCUCUGCCCGUCCAGCUGCACCGAGCUUCAAGACUGAUGAGGUGUUGGUCGGUGUGUUGCCAUUCUCUCUGCUGCUUUGACAGUAACUGCUAAAGAAUGACUCCGAGGAAAGGGAGCCGGACGCCUCUCUGUCUCCUAGCCCGCUAUCUUCACAUUAACCAGGACCGGCUGAUCAGGACUGGCACCAACAAAAUAGAUAAACUGAGGGAACAGAUGAGUAAUAAUCCAACAUUUAACUUCAAUUCUCCUUCAGGUCGAUGUUGUUUUAUUCAUUAAUAUUUGACGAAAACUAGGUCGGAAAGCACGUGUAAAAAGUUUAUUUUGUAGUGACCUGUGUUGAUGAUCAUUAAACGAGCAAAUUAUUUUCCCCCCCUA